Papilio xuthus (Asian swallowtail) is the source of this 365-nucleotide long non-coding RNA. RefSeq lists it as uncharacterized. The record is from RefSeq and is a predicted model, not a curated record. Lineage: Eukaryota; Metazoa; Arthropoda; Insecta; Lepidoptera; Papilionidae. The transcript is spliced from 2 exons.
AUAAAAACAUUGAAUGAAACAGCUCGCAAUGAUUGCCACCGGUUACAUAUGGGUUACGCAUCGCCUUGACAAAUCGUUGUAAAUUGUCAGAAUGCAGUAAAAAUUCAAACACACGGCUACUGAUAUGCAUCCAGGGUGGUAAGACAUAUUGACACUUCGGUCGAAAACUCAGCGGGGUGUCCUUCUAUAGAUCUUCUACGAACGCCGUGUGGGAUAUACCUGAUUGAGACCACAAAGGUACGUUUCAAUUAUAAAUUAUAGACAUUAAUGUACCGAAUAGGUGUUUUAGUGAUGGUAAACCAAAAAAAAUUAAGAUCUUAAAUAAAACUUUGGAGUCCAUCUUUAUGGAUCUCUAUUAGCUAUGG